RNAcentral lists this ribosomal RNA (486 nucleotides) under uncultured bacterium. Its description in RNAcentral is "partial 16S ribosomal RNA". It matches the Rfam family "Bacterial small subunit ribosomal RNA", at positions 899 to 1397 of the family's 1533-position model. The record is from RNAcentral.
ACUCAAAUGAAUUGACGGGGACCUGCACAAGCGGUGGAGCAUGUGGUUUAAUUCGACGGUAAGCGAGGAACCUUACCAAGGCUUGACAUGUACCUGCAUACAUUAGAAAUAGUGUAGCCUUCGAGGGUGGUACACAGGUGCUGCACGGUUGUCGUCAGCUCGUGCCGUGAGGUGUUCACUUAAGUGUGAAAACGAGCGCAACCCCUAUUAUCAGUUACAAGUGUCUGAUGAAACUGCCCGCGUUUAAGCGGGAGGAAGGUGGGGAUGACGUCAAAUCAGCGUGGCUCUUACGCCUUGGGCGACACACGUGCUACAAUGGGAAGGAACAGAGGGACGCCAAGCCGCAAGGUGGAGCAAAUCCCAGCAAAACUUCCCCCAGUUCGGAUCGAGGGCUGCAACUCGCCCUCGUGAAGCCGGAAUCGCUAGUAACCGUGGAUCAGCCUCGCCACGGUGAAUACGUUCUCAGGUUUUGUACACACCGCCCGU